GACGAACGCUGGCGGCGUGCUUAACACAUGCAAGUCGAACGGAAAGGCCCUGCUUUUGUGGGGUGCUCGAGUGGCGAACGGGUGAGUAACACGUGAGUAACCUGCCCUUGACUUUGGGAUAACUUCAGGAAACUGGUGCUAAUACCGGAUAGGAGCUCCUGCUGCAUGGUGGGGGUUGGAACGUUUCGGCGGUUGGGGAUGGACUCGCGGCUUAUCAGCUUGUUGGUGGGGGAGUGGCUUACCAAGGCUUUGACGGGUAGCCGGCCUGAGAGGGUGACCAGCCACAUUGGGACUGAGAUACGGCCCAGACUCCUACGGGAGGCAGCAGUGGGGAAUAUGGCACAAUGGGCGGACGCCUGAUGCAGAAACGCCGCGUGCGGGAUGACGGCCUUCGGGUUGUAAACCGCUUUCGGCUGUGACGAAGCGUGAGUGACGGUAAUGGGUAAAGAAGCACCGGCUAACUACGUG
Molecule: ribosomal RNA, 468 nt
Filed under: uncultured bacterium
Lineage: Bacteria
Description: partial 16S ribosomal RNA
Rfam family: Bacterial small subunit ribosomal RNA
Source: RNAcentral